CAUUAGGUGGCUGAAAAUAAGCAUUGGUCUCUUAAACCACAAUAUAGUAAAUUCGCCCUACUUCUAAUGA
RNAcentral lists this transfer RNA (70 nucleotides) under Staphylinidae sp. BMNH 1274637. RNAcentral describes it as "tRNA-Lys". Lineage: Eukaryota; Metazoa; Arthropoda; Insecta; Coleoptera; Staphylinidae. The record is from RNAcentral.